Molecule: ribosomal RNA, 1436 nt
Filed under: uncultured organism
Description: SSU rRNA
Rfam family: Bacterial small subunit ribosomal RNA
Source: RNAcentral
UUAACACAUGCAAGUCGAGGGGCAGCAUGGUCUUAGCUUGCUAAGGCCGAUGGCGACCGGCGCACGGGUGAGUAACACGUAUCCAACCUGCCGUCUACUCUUGGACAGCCUUCUGAAAGGAAGAUUAAUACAAGAUGGCAUCAUGAGUCCGCAUGUUCACAUGAUUAAAGGUAUUCCGGUAGACGAUGGGGAUGCGUUCCAUUAGAUAGUAGGCGGGGUAACGGCCCACCUAGUCUUCGAUGGAUAGGGGUUCUGAGAGGAAGGUCCCCCACAUUGGAACUGAGACACGGUCCAAACUCCUACGGGAGGCAGCAGUGAGGAAUAUUGGUCAAUGGGUGAGAGCCUGAACCAGCCAAGUAGCGUGAAGGAUGACUGCCCUAUGGGUUGUAAACUUCUUUUAUAAAGGAAUAAAGUCGGGUAUGGAUACCCGUUUGCAUGUACUUUAUGAAUAAGGAUCGGCUAACUCCGUGCCAGCAGCCGCGGUAAUACGGAGGAUCCGAGCGUUAUCCUGAUUUAUUGGGUUUAAAGGGAGCGUAGAUGGAUGUUUAAGUCAGUUGUGAAAGUUUGCGGCUCAACCGUAAAAUUGCAGUUGAUACUGGAUAUCUUGAGUGCAGUUGAGGCAGGCGGAAUUCGUGGUGUAGCGGUGAAAUGCUUAGAUAUCACGAAGAACUCCGAUUGCGAAGGCAGCCUGCUAAGCUGCAACUGACAUUGAGGCUCGAAAGUGUGGGUAUCAAACAGGAUUAGAUACCCUGGUAGUCCACACGGUAAACGAUGAAUACUCGCUGUUUGCGAUAUACUGCAAGCGGCCAAGCGAAAGCGUUAAGUAUUCCACCUGGGGAGUACGCCGGCAACGGUGAAACUCAAAGGAAUUGACGGGGGCCCGCACAAGCGGAGGAACAUGUGGUUUAAUUCGAUGAUACGCGAGGAACCUUACCCGGGCUUAAAUUGCAGAUGAAUUACGGUGAAAGCCGUAAGCCGCAAGGCAUCUGGGAAGGUGCUGCAUGGUUGUCGUCAGCUCGUGCCGUGAGGUGUCGGCUUAAGUGCCAUAACGAGCGCAACCCUUGUUGUCAGUUACUAACAGGUUCCGCUGAGGACUCUGACAAGACUGCCAUCGUAAGAUGUGAGGAAGGUGGGGAUGACGUCAAAUCAGCACGGCCCUUACGUCCGGGGCUACACACGUGUUACAAUGGGGGGUACAGAGGGCCGCUACCACGCGAGUGGAUGCCAAUCCCCAAAACCUCUCUCAGUUCGGACUGGAGUCUGCAACCCGACUCCACGAAGCUGGAUUCGCUAGUAAUCGCGCAUCAGCCACGGCGCGGUGAAUACGUUCCCGGGCCUUGUACACACCGCCCGUCAAGCCAUGGGAGCCGGGGGUACCUGAAGUGCGUAACCGCGAGGAGCGCCCUAGGGUAAAACUGGUGACUGGGGCUAAGUCA